AUACGGAAAUGCCGCGCUAGGCUUUGUGCCCCGCGCCCCAUUUGAUUGCAGACUCGGCGCCGACUCGGGGAAUCUGCCCCUUGCUCGCAGCUUGCCUGCGCAUAAUCAUCAAGCCUUCGCUCGUAAUUAGCAACAUUUCCCGCUUCUGUCUCACCAAAGCGCCAACAACCGCGCGCCUCCGUCCAAUUACGCGGGCAGGUGGGCAUGGGAGCGCUACCAGACACGUUUAAGAGGAGCUGCAUCGCCCUGUUCGCCGCCGAGGGAACAACUGCAGCUCUUCCAGCCUCCUUGGCUCCGUGCGGCUCUCCCAGUCAGUCUCCUGGAGACUGAUGAGGCUUCUGCGACAAGUGUGGGAGCAGUCUGUCACCAUGUGGCACGUGUCCAGCGCCAUGAAAUGGAGAGUCCUCCCGUUGGCACAGAGAGCUGAUGAUAGGCCAGGGUAGUCGGCAGCGCUCAACUGCAGCUCAACAAGGAGACGGAAGCCAACACCCAACACCCCACUGGAGCUUGGAAGAAACCAUUUUUACUCACACUACAAAACAAAGACUGUAUGUAACGUUUGUCCACCUUACCAAAGCGCUUGACACUGUGGGCAGAAAAGGCCUGUGGCAAAUUAUGGAACGACUAGAAUGUCCUCCAAAAUUCCUCAACAUGAUUAUCAAGCUACAUGAAGGCCAGCGUGGCCAAGUCAGACGCAGCAAAGACCUCUCAGAGCCCUUCCCAAUAAGCGACGGUGUAAAGCAAGGCUGCGUCCUCACGCCGACCCUCUUCGCAGUCUUCUUCAGCAUGAUGCUCCAAAGGGCCACAGUAGACCUUGAUGACGAGGAUGAUGUCUAUAUCCGAUACCGCACCGAUGGCAGCCUGUUGAACUUGAGGCGGCUAAAGGCCCACACCAAGACAGUGGAGCAUCUUAUCCGAGAACUACUCUUUGCCAACGAUGCUGCCCUUGUUUCCCACAUGGUGACAGCUCUGCAGCCUAUAACAUUCUGUUUUGCAGAGGCUGCCGAGCUAUUUGGGCUAGAAGUCAGCUUGAAGACGACAAAAGUUCUCCACCAGUCUUCACCUCCGGAAGACUACCACCCUCCCCAUAUCACCAUAGGCGAAUCAGAGCUGAAGACAGUCCACCGGUUCGGCUACCUGGGGUGCAUCAUCUCCUCGGAUGCCAAGGUCAACAAAGACACCGACAACAGACUGGCAAAGGUAAACAGUGCAUUGGGCAAACUGUACAGAAGUGUCUGGAACAACAAACAUCUGAAAAAAUGCACAAGGAUCAGUGUGUACGGAGCCAUUGUAUUGACCACUCGACUCUAUAGCUCCGAGUCGUGGGUCACCUACCGUCACCACCUGCGACUCUUUGAGCGCUUCCAUCAGCGUUGCCUCCACACCAUCCUCAGCAUCUACUGGAAUAACUUCAUCACCAACACUGAAGUCCUCAAACAGGCAGAGGUCACCCAGCAUAGAGGCCAUGCUGAUGAAGAUGCAGCUGUGUUGGGCAGAGCACAUCUCCAGGAUGGAGGAUCAUCGCCUGCCCAAGAUUGUGCUGCAUGGCGAACUCACCACUGGCCACCGCAACAGAGAGGCACUGAAGAAGAGGUGCAAGGACUCUCUGGAGAAAUCCCUUGAUGGCUGUUACAUUGAUCACUGCCAGUGGUCUGCUCUAGCCUUUGAUCGUGAGGCCUGGAGACAAACCAUUCACCAGGCUGUCUCCUCCUUCGAGAACGCACGUAGGCGGGUCUUGAGGACAAACGGAGAUGGAGGAAGAAAUGUGACACUGCAGCACCAAACCCAGAACAGACGUCCCCAUGCGGCCGCUGCUGCCGGACCUGCCUGUUCCGCAUUGGCCUCGUCAGCCACCAAUGUGCGCGGUGACCCCCUGACAGCCACCUGGAGCUUCAGCCAGAGGAGGCCUUUGUAACAGCUUGGGGUUUACACGAGGAAGCUGGUGCACACAGAGAGAAGGCAAACCUGAAGACUUCAAUGAGCAACGUGAGCCUCGGUGUGUGUUUUGUACAACGUGUGCUGUACUCGGUGGCUCAGGUAAGCGCUCUGCCGGUCAUGAAAUGUUCACGUUAUUUAAAUGGUCACAAAAACGCAGUGCUGUGAAGAUGGGGGACCAUAUCCUAUGAACGUGAGCGUUCAUAUGCGGGAAAGUGAUCUCGCAGUCGUCUUUCUCGCAGUGUGCGCAUUAUUAACCGAAACACCAUGGCGCUCCUCAACAGGCGCCUUAUCAGGCUCGCUCCUUUGCCCCUGCACCGCGCGGCCCCCCCCUCCACGGCUCCUUAGCCGGCCUCGUGACGCCGAGCCCACGCAACCGGGCCCCGCAUGGGCCUGUUAUGUAAAUGGUCAGUUUGUUUGCGAUCGGGUUGAAUAAUUCAUGAGGCCCGCGCAAUCCGCCGUAAGCUGCUUUGUCGCCCACAGCUGUGCGCGGCGCACGCGGAGCCUGGCGAGGUCCGGCCGAGGCCCAGGCCUCACAGGCGAUAAUGCGGACGGUGAGCAAACCGGCAAACAUUCUCUUCUCUUCUGGCACACAACCAAGCCCCUCCGUUCGGCUCUUAAGCGCAAAUGUCUCAGAGACUUUGGGUUUUACGAUCUCCUUGUUCUGUCAAAUAGAGAUAAUUGUAUUAUCUGGCAGUUCAUUAAAAACCUAAAAAAAGAGAACUUUUUUGCAGAAGGCCUACAGCAUAAUGUUGCUGGAACGAUAACCAUCUAAUAUCCAGAGCAAAAAGAAUAUUGUGGCUCAAGCGAAGACUGCAGGUGAAUAUUUCAGCCUCCAGCUCCAGCCAAUAUGUGCUUUUAGAAGUCAGCAAUUUCUCGUUAUUGGCAUCUUUGGUCUGUCGGUUUGCUCUGUGGGAAGCAAAUACCACUGGGAAAGCAUAUGCUCACUCUUUGUGAUACAUACUUGGAAAUACAUGUGUAAAUGUGGUUUUCGUUGAGCGCGCUGGGCAGCCGUUGUGCUCAACAGGUUUGCUUGUCUGGAAUGAGUGCCCUUGACAGUGAGGCAUGUUGUGUUUAGAUGGCACUCGCUGGUCUGGAUGGGGUCCAGAUGUUGGCUUCGCUUGGCUAAAUGCGGCUCCGGUCCUGCCCGGGUGCUGCCGCGUCCCUCCCUUUUGUCCGUACGCGGGUUGACGUGCCGGGCAGCCUCGAAUCAACAUGGAAACGGCCUUCCUCCUGCAGUCUGUAUUCCCCCACAAGGCUGUUUCGCUGACACUUGACAUGCAUGUAGAACUGGGCGCUGAUGGGCUCUUGAGCAUCUCAGGCAAUAAAUGGCAUCUUCCGAGCACAGGCACCGUGCUCUCUUCUGCAGACUGUGAGUCAGACUUCUGCAGUGGCAGAAUGCAACCGUGCCGUUCUGCUGUUGUGACCGCGCAGGGGGGUGUCCUGCAUGAGCGCCACCCACAGACGAGUCAGGCGCCUGCAGGCUGCCACCUGGCAGUGGCUCCCCUGCAGUGCACUUGCCCCGGGACCGGCACUGGGCUUGGCAGGGAGUGUUUCGGGGGACAGCGGGUGGCGGGAGGAUCUUUCAGAGGACGCUGGGCGGUGGGGGGAGUUUCAUGGAACAGCAGGUGGCAGUUGGGUUUCGGAGGGCAGCGGGCAGCCGAGGGAGGUUUGGGAACAGGGGGCAGCGGAAGGAGUUGCUGACCUGUACAAACUUAAGAGUCACGGCAAAAAAAAAUGAAAGCUUACACCUGUGUGUUUUCAUUCCGCUGAUGGAAAUGUAAUUUACAUAAACAAUUUUAUAGGGCAGUUUUAGAUUUAUUGCUGGUUUUAAUAUAAUUUUCUGUAAAACCAGGUUUGGUGUUGUCCACACACCUUAUCACAGAAUGUUUCAUCGGAGUAUUCGAUUGAAAUGUGAACAUAUGGUGUUUUAAAGUGUUUUUCAAAUUUUUGUGUUGUGCGGCUAAGCAGGUGGUGUAGUGGUCUGUGCGGCUGGCUUGAUGGUUCUAGGUUCAAAUCCCACUUCUUGCUGUAGUACCUAUGAGCAAGGUACUUUCUCUGAACUGCCCCAUAGCCAUAAAUGCGUGCAUCGUUGCAAAUGGUUUAACGUUGCCACUUUGGAGAAAAACGUCAGCCAAAAAAGUCGAUGCGUUCAAAUACAGAUCUGUAAACUGUGCAAUAUGAGAGCGGAGGCCUUCUGAAGAGAUGCGGUCUGAAUAAUAGGCACCACCUCAGCAUGGUUACAUUCAUUUCACUGCUCUCUUUUUCCCCGGGUGAACCUGACCACCGGCCCUCUGUGUUCUCAGCGCCAGGCCGGAGAGUGAUAUCUUUUCGCCAGUCAUCCAUGUUGGCUCUUCUUCUGAGGCACAGAGGGGUGGCGUAAUAUAUAUGCUAAUAUCGUUUGUAUCUGCAGAUGAGGAUGAUUAUAUCUGGAUGAGUCAGAGGUAAAAUGGGCUGGGGAACAUCCGAUAAACCCUGACGCAGCUGUUUCUCUGCAGGAAUUCUGUCACGGCCGCUGCUCGCUGCCCUCCCCUCAUGCCCGUACCUGACUUGUUCCCCUCGCCCCUCCCCGCUUCACCCCCGACUCCCUCCGGCUAACUCGCCCGGGACCUUCGCACACCUGUCUUCCACUUGCGCACACAACACAAACAAGUAGAGCAGCUAGUCUCGCUCGUGGCGCGGAUCUACAGCAAGGCCGACAAAACCGUACCGGCUGGGAGAAGGUCAACCUCACGAUGAAUUGCAGCACUCUAUCAGGUGAAUACCGCUUGAUUAUCUCCGCUUUCCAUGUGGCGCUGAAGUGUCGUGUAUGGAUAGCUUAGGAGCCUCAAACAAAUCGAGCGUCGUCCGUCGGAGCCUUUAAAGGUAACCAGAGCAUCUGUGUCAUGGCUGUUUCCUCAGCAACAGGCUUGAGAGGAUAAAAUUCUUUGGUGACUCAACGCAGGACUCCGAGGCUGGACUAGCGAUAUUCACGAAUCCGCAGGAGACACUAAGCCAUUAUGUUGUUUCGUAAUUUGCCCAAGACAGAUGUUUCGAUGAUGGAUUAGCUAACCGCUGCCACCACAGCCGACUUGGGAGAAGCAACAAAGUAGCUGAUGUCUGUGUCUUUGUCUUGAGUGCCAGUAUUAUUCUCCAUAUUGCCGGCAGAGAGUGUUUUUGAGGAAACAGCCCACCACAGUUGUUACUGAAAGCGCCGGCAGUGGAAAAUGCUUCACCCUCUCUACUGGAGGUGAUACUGCAGGACAGGUCAGCACUCCUAAAUCCUGACCCUUCCAAGUUCAAAGUACAUUUUUGUGAUGCUUUUUCUCCAAAGUGACUUACAAUAUUAGUCUAUUUACAAUUUUUUACCCAUUUAUGGAGCUGGGUGAUGUUACUUGACCAAUUUAGGGUCACUAGCUUACUCAAGGGUAUUACAGCCAGAGGAGGAUUGAACCUGCAACUGUUAGAUCAAAAGGCAGUAGC
This is an RNA transcript of Scleropages formosus (Asian bonytongue), 5397 nucleotides long. RefSeq lists it as uncharacterized. The record is from RefSeq and is a predicted model, not a curated record. NCBI's taxonomy places the organism in Eukaryota, Metazoa, Chordata, Actinopteri, Osteoglossiformes, Osteoglossidae. The transcript has 4 exons.